CGGAAGCCAUGUCUGCCUCCGCGGCUUCUCUCACGCUCUCAUCCCUAACCCUCAACACCCUAUCUCUUUCUAACCCUAAAAUCAAACUCUUCUCUCUCAAUCCUUCUUCAAUUCGCCUUCUUUCAAAUCCCAUUUCCAUUUCUUCUGCUGUUCUUCGUUCUCAUAGGGUUUCUUCUCCCUUCUCCUCUCGUUUUGUCCGAAAUGUCGCCGUUUCAUCCGAUUACGACCAGGAAGAAGACACUCUUGAGGCCGAUGGAGACGAAUCUAG
Molecule: unclassified non-coding RNA, 268 nt
Filed under: Hevea brasiliensis (rubber tree)
Lineage: Eukaryota; Viridiplantae; Streptophyta; Magnoliopsida; Malpighiales; Euphorbiaceae
Source: RNAcentral